ACGACCUUAUUUGAACAGGAUCUAUUCUAUAGGAUCGUACCUCUGUAUCCUUAAUCACUAAGGAGACAGGAACCUAAGCCUGGUUGAGGAACCAUGACCACGUGAUCAUAGAGUGAGUAAUGGCUAGAUGGCCCUCGUGAUCAUCUUGGCUGUAGAGGAUCGUUUCCUAGCCGCUAACCUGGCUGGGAAUGGUCACGCGGUUGUCUGACAGGCU
Molecule: non-coding RNA, 214 nt
Organism: Populus trichocarpa (black cottonwood)
Lineage: Eukaryota; Viridiplantae; Streptophyta; Magnoliopsida; Malpighiales; Salicaceae
Source: Rfam